GAUGAACGCUGGCGGCGUGCCUCAAACAUGCAAGUCGAGCGGGGCUAUGUAAUAUCGCAAGGUAGAACAUAGCCUAGCGGCGAACGGGUGAGUAACACGUGGGUAACCUGCCUGGAAGACAGGGAUAACGAUUCGAAAGGGUCGCUAAUACCUGAUAAUAUCCUUUCAUCGCAUGGUGAUAGGAAGAAAGGGGAAACCCGCUUUCAGAUGGGCCCGCGUCCCAUCAGCUAGUUGGUAAGGUAAAGGCUUACCAAGGCGACGACGGGUAGCCGGUCUGAGAGGAUGUACGGCCACACUGGGACUGAGAUACGGCCCAGACUCCUACGGGAGGCAGCAGUUGGGAAUCUUAGGCAAUGGACGAAAGUCUGACCUAGCGACGCCGCGUGAGGGAAGAAGGCCUUCGGGUUGUAAACCUCUGUCAUGGGGGAAGAAGUAAGUGACGGUACCCCAAGAGGAAGCCCCUGCUAACUACGUGCCAGCAGCCGCGGUAAAGUACUCUAU
RNAcentral lists this ribosomal RNA (501 nucleotides) under uncultured bacterium. RNAcentral describes it as "bacterial SSU rRNA". It matches the Rfam family "Bacterial small subunit ribosomal RNA", at positions 28 to 530 of the family's 1533-position model. The record is from RNAcentral.